GAUCAUGGUUCAGGACGAACGCUGGCGGCGCGCCUAACACAUGCAAGUCGAACGAGAGAGAAGGAGCUUGCUUCUUCGAUCGAGUGGCGAACGGGUGAGUAACGCGUGAGGAACCUGCCUCAAAGAGGGGGACAACAGUUGGAAACGACUGCUAAUACCGCAUAAGCCCACGGGUCGGCAUCGACCUGAGGGAAAAGGAGCAAUCCGCUUUGAGAUGGCCUCGCGUCCGAUUAGCUAGUUGGUG
Molecule: ribosomal RNA, 244 nt
Filed under: uncultured bacterium
Lineage: Bacteria
Description: partial 16S ribosomal RNA
Rfam family: Bacterial small subunit ribosomal RNA
Source: RNAcentral